Molecule: ribosomal RNA, 394 nt
Filed under: uncultured bacterium
Lineage: Bacteria
Description: bacterial SSU rRNA
Rfam family: Bacterial small subunit ribosomal RNA
Source: RNAcentral
CGGCAGAGAUGCCUUAGUGCCUUCGGGAACCGUGAGACAGGUGCUGCAUGGCUGUCGUCAGCUCGUGUUGUGAAAUGUUGGGUUAAGUCCCGCAACGAGCGCAACCCUUAUCCUUUGUUGCCAGCGAUUCGGUCGGGAACUCAAAGGAGACUGCCGGUGAUAAACCGGAGGAAGGUGGGGAUGACGUCAAGUCAUCAUGGCCCUUACGGCCAGGGCUACACACGUGCUACAAUGGCGCAUACAAAGAGAAGCGACCUCGCGAGAGCAAGCGGACCUCAUAAAGUGCGUCGCAGUCCGGAUCGGAGUCUGCAACUCGACUCCGUGAAGUCGGAAUCGCUAGUAAUCGUAGAUCAGAAUGCUACGGUGAAUACGUUCCCGGGCCUUGUACACACCG